GAAGCUUUGGUUUCAUUACCUCCCUCAUUUCUUGUUACCAGCUUCUUCCUGCUCUUGCAAAGUCGAAGGCUACAUGAGAAGGUGUUUCUGAUUGAAGUAGUGAUUCAGUGAAGGCAGUAGCUUUGGUGGUGCUGAUUUUGCAUUAUGCGGUUGAAUAUGUAUAAUCAGAAACAACCUUUCCACAUUUAGAGAAGGAUUGUUAUAUCUAAAUGCGA
This is a long non-coding RNA of Dendrobium catenatum, 215 nucleotides long. RefSeq lists it as uncharacterized. NCBI's taxonomy places the organism in Eukaryota, Viridiplantae, Streptophyta, Magnoliopsida, Asparagales, Orchidaceae. The transcript is spliced from 3 exons. The record is from RefSeq and is a predicted model, not a curated record.